RNAcentral lists this ribosomal RNA (840 nucleotides) under Bacillus sp. DWR15. Its description in RNAcentral is "bacterial SSU rRNA". It matches the Rfam family "Bacterial small subunit ribosomal RNA", at positions 95 to 921 of the family's 1533-position model. Lineage: Bacteria; Bacillati; Bacillota; Bacilli; Caryophanales; Bacillaceae. The record is from RNAcentral.
GCGGCGGACGGGUGAGUAACACGUGGGCAACCUGCCUGUAAGACUGGGAUAACUCCGGGAAACCGGGGCUAAUACCGGAUAAUAUCUAUUUAUACAUAUAAUUAGAUUGAAAGAUGGUUCUGCUAUCACUUACAGAUGGGCCCGCGGCGCAUUAGCUAGUUGGUGAGGUAACGGCUCACCAAGGCGACGAUGCGUAGCCGACCUGAGAGGGUGAUCGGCCACACUGGGACUGAGACACGGCCCAGACUCCUACGGGAGGCAGCAGUAGGGAAUCUUCCGCAAUGGACGAAAGUCUGACGGAGCAACGCCGCGUGAGUGAUGAAGGUUUUCGGAUCGUAAAACUCUGUUGUUAGGGAAGAACAAGUACCGGAGUAACUGCCGGUACCUUGACGGUACCUAACCAGAAAGCCACGGCUAACUACGUGCCAGCAGCCGCGGUAAUACGUAGGUGGCAAGCGUUGUCCGGAAUUAUUGGGCGUAAAGCGCGCGCAGGCGGUUCCUUAAGUCUGAUGUGAAAGCCCACGGCUCAACCGUGGAGGGUCAUUGGAAACUGGGGAACUUGAGUGCAGAAGAGGAAAGUGGAAUUCCAAGUGUAGCGGUGAAAUGCGUAGAGAUUUGGAGGAACACCAGUGGCGAAGGCGACUUUCUGGUCUGUAACUGACGCUGAGGCGCGAAAGCGUGGGGAGCAAACAGGAUUAGAUACCCUGGUAGUCCACGCCGUAAACGAUGAGUGCUAAGUGUUAGAGGGUUUCCGCCCUUUAGUGCUGCAGCAAACGCAUUAAGCACUCCGCCUGGGGAGUACGACCGCAAGGUUGAAACUCAAAGGAAUUGACGGGGGCC